Bombyx mandarina (wild silkworm) is the source of this 1359-nucleotide long non-coding RNA. RefSeq lists it as uncharacterized. The record is from RefSeq and is a predicted model, not a curated record. NCBI's taxonomy places the organism in Eukaryota, Metazoa, Arthropoda, Insecta, Lepidoptera, Bombycidae.
AACGGAGCGGUAUUACGAACCACAAUAAACGAACGCCUUGAGUCACACAGUUCUCUUCGUAUUGUGAUAUUAAUCGUGAAGGUUGAAACUGGUGCCAUGUUUUGUUAUUUAUUUUAAAAUAUUUCAUUACAGUUAUAAAACCGAAUAACAGGAGGAUGGGUCUCUGUUUUUCAUUCGACUGUGGGGAUUGUGACCUGUGUGUAAACCCCUGCUGUUUAGCAUUGAGCGCUUGUUGUCUGAUUCCGUGUCUGUGUCCGAACGCCUGUGGGCAACAGCAACAACAACAACAGCCACCACAGACCAUCCACGUGCAUCAUCCUCCAGUGAUAAUCGAGCAGCAACCACCUCAACCCGGAUAUCCCUACCCUCCACCACCAGACGGAGGCUAUCCCGGUUACCCUCCACACCAGCAACCAGGAUAUCCGGGUUAUCCUCAACCGCCAUCGUACCGAUGAAAAGCCAUUGAUCGUUUCUAAAGAAUGGGUUGCAAUAUCUCGUGUCGACCCUGUUGCUGUUGCUGCAUUCCGUGCCUUUGCUGCGAUUGUUGCGGUGAUCCUCCGCAGCGGACCACCGUGGUACACCAUCACCACCCUUCACCGAAUCAACCCGCCGUCAUCAUCAACCAACCACCACCUCCAUACAGAUAGAUAUAUACUGAAUAUGUGAUUAGUUUCCCUAAAAAUUUAAAUGCGAUGUAGAACCAAAUAUUUUAAAUUUAAGUUAAAAUACGCUACUGGUUUUCAUAUAAAAAUAUUACCAUUAUGCAUUUCAGUUUAUAAGACUAUAAUGUGAGGGACGCGACAGACGGAACAAAAUUCAUUUCAAUACUAAGGUUAUUUAUUUACAUUAUUUGGUUACAUUUAGUUUACAGGGACAUUAUAGAAGUAUUUAUUUAUAUUUUCAUAUAAUUAACUAUAAUCUGAUAUCGAGAGAACGCAGUAAUUCCAUUGAUGGACAUUAUUAAGUCCAAUAUUAAUUUAGUAAAAUAUUGAAAUUAAAUCUAUGAUGUAUUUAUUUUAAGAGUACCGAAAGUUAUGCGAUAUUAAGAAUUACAGUUUAAUUAAAAAUGUAUAUAAUGGAUAAUGCUGUUUAUUAUUUCAGUCAAGCUAGUUUUCUUAGAUAGGAAUAAUCUUGUCAAUUCCUUUUUGAAACUUAAUCGUUAAUAAUUAAUUUGUUAAUUUCUUUUUAUGUUCUUUCUUUUUCUUUCUUUGUAUCUAUUUCAUCUUAUUUAAUUUUACACGAUAAUUUGUCACACAAACGAGUACUUACCGACUCAAAGAGGCUUUGAAAUCAUUACCUACAUAUCAUUCAUGUUUAUGCUGUUUUAAAACAAAAUAAUAAACAAUAUAGAAAUUAUAU